RNAcentral lists this small RNA (19 nucleotides) under Arabidopsis thaliana (thale cress). RNAcentral's name for it is "Ath_wt_08585". Lineage: Eukaryota; Viridiplantae; Streptophyta; Magnoliopsida; Brassicales; Brassicaceae. The record is from RNAcentral.
GGCGAUGCGUCCUGGUCGG